AUACGUAGGGUGCAAGCGUUAAUCGGAAUUACUGGGCGUAAAGCGUGCGCAGGCGGUUUUGUAAGACAGUGGUGAAAUCCCCGGGCUCAACCUGGGAACUGCCAUUGUGACUGCAAGGCUGGAGUGCGGCAGAGGGGGAUGGGAUUGCGCGUGUAGAAGUGAAAUGCGUAGAUAUGCGGAGGAACACCGAUGGCGAAGGCAAUCCCCUGGGCCUGCACUGACGCUCAUGCACGAAAGCGUGGGGAGCAAACAGGAUUAGAUACCCUGGUAGUCCACGCCCUAAACGAUGUCAACUGGUUGUUGGGGAUUUAUUUUCUCAGUAACGAAGCUAACGCGUGAAGUUGACCGCCUGGGGAGUACGGCCGCAAGGUUAAAACUCAAAUGAAUUGACGGGG
This 395-nucleotide ribosomal RNA is filed under the name uncultured bacterium. Its description in RNAcentral is "partial 16S ribosomal RNA". It matches the Rfam family "Bacterial small subunit ribosomal RNA", at positions 523 to 918 of the family's 1533-position model. The record is from RNAcentral.